CCUACGGGUGGCAGCAGUGAGGAAUAUUGGUCAAUGGACGAGAGUCUGAACCAGCCAAGUAGCGUGAAGGAUGACUGCCCUAUGGGUUGUAAACUUCUUUUAUAUGGGAAUAAAAUGUUCCACGUGUGGGAUUUUGUAUGUACCAUAUGAAUAAGGAUCGGCUAACUCCGUGCCAGCAGCCGCGGUAAUACGGAGGAUCCGAGCGUUAUCCGGAUUUAUUGGGUUUAAAGGGAGCGUAGGUGGAUUGUUAAGUCAGUUGUGAAAGUUUGCGGCUCAACCGUAAAAUUGCAGUUGAAACUGGCAGUCUUGAGUACAGUAGAGGUGGGCGGAAUUCGUGGUGUAGCGGUGAAAUGCUUAGAUAUCACGAAGAACACCGAUUGCGAAGGCAGUUCACUGGACUGCAACUGACACUGAGGCUCGAAAGUGUGGGUAUCAAACAGGAUUAGAUACCCUUGUAGUC
This 460-nucleotide ribosomal RNA is filed under the name uncultured bacterium. Its description in RNAcentral is "partial 16S ribosomal RNA". It matches the Rfam family "Bacterial small subunit ribosomal RNA", at positions 338 to 795 of the family's 1533-position model. The record is from RNAcentral.